AUAUCAAUAAGCGGAGGAAAAGAAACUAACAAGGAUUCCCCUAGUAACUGCGAGUGAAGCGGGAAAAGCUCAAAUUUAAAAUCUGGCAGUCUCUGAUUGUCCGAGUUGUAAUUUAGAGAAGUGUUACCCGUGCUGGACCAUGUUUAAGUCUUCUGGAAUGAAGCGUCAUAGAGGGUGAGAAUCCCGUCUUUAACAUGGACUACCAGUGCAUUGUGGUAUGCUCUCAACGAGUCGAGUUGUUUGGGAAUGCAGCUCAAAAUGGGUGGUAAAUUCCAUCUAAAGCUAAAUACAGACGAGAGACCGAUAGCGCACAAGUA
This 317-nucleotide ribosomal RNA is filed under the name uncultured Agaricales. Its description in RNAcentral is "partial large subunit ribosomal RNA". It matches the Rfam family "Eukaryotic large subunit ribosomal RNA", at positions 40 to 350 of the family's 3401-position model. The record is from RNAcentral. Lineage: Eukaryota; Fungi; Basidiomycota; Agaricomycetes; Agaricales.